This 72-nucleotide transfer RNA is filed under the name Candidatus Kuenenbacteria bacterium CG1_02_38_13. Its description in RNAcentral is "tRNA-Gly". It matches the Rfam family "tRNA". From Rfam's summary of the family: Transfer RNA (tRNA) molecules are approximately 80 nucleotides in length. The record is from RNAcentral. RNAcentral also lists the same sequence under 2 other names. Lineage: Bacteria; Candidatus Kueneniibacteriota.
GCGAGUGUAGCACAACGGUUAGUGCAUCAGCCUUCCAAGCUGAGGACGCCGGUCCGAUUCCGGUCACUCGCU